This 380-nucleotide ribosomal RNA is filed under the name uncultured eukaryote. RNAcentral's name for it is "partial 18S ribosomal RNA". It matches the Rfam family "Eukaryotic small subunit ribosomal RNA", at positions 592 to 976 of the family's 1831-position model. The record is from RNAcentral.
CAAUAGCGUAUAUUAAAGUUGUUGCAGUUAGAACGCUCGUAGUCGGAUUUCGGGGCGGGCCGACCGGUCUGCCGAUGGGUACGCACUGGUCGGCGCGUCCUUCCUUCCGGAGACCGUUCCUACUCUUAACUGAGCGGGGGCGGGAGACGGAUCGUUUACUUUGAAAAAAUCAGAGUGUUUCAAGCAGGCAGCUCGCUCUUGCAUGGAUUAGCAUGGGAUAAUGAAAUAGGACUUUGGUGCUAUUUUGUUGGUUUCGAACACCGAAGUAAUGAUUAAAAGGGACAGUCAGGGGCACUCGCAUUCCGCCGAGAGAGGUGAAAUUCUCAGACCAGCGGAAGACGAACGACUGCGAAAGCAUUUGCCAGGGAUGUUUUCACUGA